GGGGGUGUAGCUCAGUGAAAGAGCAUUUGCCUAAAAUGCAUGAGUCCCUGGAUUCAUCCCCA
Molecule: transfer RNA, 62 nt
Filed under: Ictidomys tridecemlineatus (thirteen-lined ground squirrel)
Lineage: Eukaryota; Metazoa; Chordata; Mammalia; Rodentia; Sciuridae
Description: Spermophilus tridecemlineatus (thirteen-lined ground squirrel) tRNA
Rfam family: tRNA
About the family: Transfer RNA (tRNA) molecules are approximately 80 nucleotides in length. Their secondary structure includes four short double-helical elements and three loops (D, anti-codon, and T loops).
Source: Rfam by way of RNAcentral